Molecule: ribosomal RNA, 506 nt
Filed under: uncultured bacterium
Lineage: Bacteria
Description: partial 16S ribosomal RNA
Rfam family: Bacterial small subunit ribosomal RNA
Source: RNAcentral
AUUGGACGCUGGCGGUAUGCUUAACACAUGCAAGUCGAACGGCAGCAUGGUCUAGCUUGCUAGACUGAUGGCGAGUGGCGGACGGGUGAGUAACGCGUAGGAAUAUGCCUUGAAGAGUGGGACAACUUGGGGAAACUCAAGCUAAUACCGCAUGUACUCGAGAGAGUAAAGCUGGGGACCUUUUGGCCUGGCGCUUUAAGAUUAGCCUGCGUCCGAUUAGCUAGGUGGUAGGGUAAAGGACUACACAGGCGACGAGCGGUAGCUGGUCUGAGAGGAUGAUCAGCCACACUGGAACUGAGAGACGGUCCAGACUCCUACGGGAGGCAGCAGUGGGGAAUAUUGGACAAUGGGGGGAACCCUGAUCCAGCAAUGCCGCGUGUGUGAAGAAGGCCUGAGGGUUGUAAAGCACUUUCAGUGGGGAGGAGGUUUGGAAGGUUAAGAGCUAUUCAAAUGGACGUUACCCACAGAAGAAGCACCGGCUAACUCCGUGCCAGCAGCCGCGGUAA